RNAcentral lists this ribosomal RNA (933 nucleotides) under methanogenic prokaryote enrichment culture B19_127. RNAcentral's name for it is "bacterial SSU rRNA". It matches the Rfam family "Bacterial small subunit ribosomal RNA", at positions 8 to 916 of the family's 1533-position model. The record is from RNAcentral.
AGAGUUUGAUCCUGGCUCAGAACUAACGCUGGCGGCGUGCCUAACACAUGCAAGUCGUACGAGAAAGUUGGCUUCGGCUGAUGAGUAAAGUGGCGCACGGGUGAGUAACGCGUGGAUAAUCUGCCUUUUAGUUGGGGAUAACGUACCGAAAGGUGCGCUAAUACCGGAUAAUACUGAGUGACUACUGUUGCUUAGUCAAAGAAGGCCUCUGUUUACAAGCUUUUGCUGAAAGAUGAGUCCGCGUACCAUUAGCUAGUUGGUCGGGUAAUGGCCUACCAAGGCUACGAUGGUUAGCUGGUCUGAGAGGAUGAUCAGCCACACUGGAACUGAGACACGGUCCAGACUCCUACGGGAGGCAGCAGUGAGGAAUAUUGCGCAAUGGGGGCAACCCUGACGCAGCAACGCCGCGUGAGUGAGGAAGGUUUUCGGAUCGUAAAGCUCUGUCGAGUGGGAAGAAAUGUAUCAUGGCUAAUAUCCAUGAUACUUGACGGUACCGCUAAAGGAAGCACCGGCUAACUCCGUGCCAGCAGCCGCGGUAAUACGGGGGGUGCAAGCGUUGUUCGGAAUUAUUGGGCGUAAAGAGCGUGUAGGCGGCUGAAUAAGUCAGAUGUGAAAUCCCUGGGCUUAACUCAGGAAGUGCAUUUGAAACUAUUCAGCUCGAGUAGGGGAGAGGAAAGUGGAAUUCCUGGUGUAGAGGUGAAAUUCGUAGAUAUCAGGAGGAACACCGGUGGCGAAGGCGACUUUCUGGCCCUAUACUGACGCUGAGACGCGAGAGCGUGGGUAGCAAACAGGAUUAGAUACCCUGGUAGUCCACGCUGUAAACGAUGUUCACUAUGUGUUGGGGGUAUUGACCCUCUCAGUGCCGAAGCUAACGCAUUAAGUGAACCGCCUGGGGAGUACGGUCGCAAGAUUAAAACUCAAAGGAAUUGACGG